Molecule: ribosomal RNA, 309 nt
Filed under: uncultured eukaryote
Lineage: Eukaryota
Description: partial 18S ribosomal RNA
Rfam family: Eukaryotic small subunit ribosomal RNA
Source: RNAcentral
CCCUUAGAUGUUCUGGGCCGCACGCGCGCUACACUGAUGCAUUCAACGAGUUUCUUCCUGGUCCGAGAGGAAUGGGUAACCUUUUGAAAGUGCAUCGUGAUAGGGAUAGACUAUUGCAAUUAUUGGUCUUCAACGAGGAAUUCCUAGUAGACGUAGUUCAUCAGACUGCAUCGAUUACGUCCCUGCCCUUUGUACACACCGCCCGUCGCUACUACCGAUUGAAUGGCUUAGUGAGGCCUCAGGAUCCGCGCUUAAUGUGUGGAGAAUUUGGACAAACUACGUCAUUUAGAGGAAGUAAAAGUCGUAACA